This is a long non-coding RNA of Cygnus olor (mute swan), 666 nucleotides long. RefSeq lists it as uncharacterized. The record is from RefSeq and is a predicted model, not a curated record. NCBI's taxonomy places the organism in Eukaryota, Metazoa, Chordata, Aves, Anseriformes, Anatidae. The transcript has 2 exons.
CCAGGCUUCGAAGUCCCAGGCCAGACCCAGUUGUGGCAGCAGAGGUUCCCUGAUUUUAUGGCUGAUUUGUUUCGCUCUCAGAAAUGUGACCUCAGCAGAGGAGCCAACAAACCAUUAAACACAACAUAUGCUGCCCUCUUGCAGCUUUAGCUGUGAUAGCAUUGUUAACACAAGAGGAAGGGCUUGUGUGCUCUCGCCUGCCCUCUUUUGAUCUGUUCUGUAAAUUGUCCAACCUUACAGUUACGGUUCUGCGUACAUCCCGCUGGAGAGCAGCCUCCUUUCCCCGUCCAGCUCCUGACAGACAGCUUUAACCUUCAAUGAUGGCAUGUAUUUUUCAUUCAUACCGCAGUGAUGCGCUCCAAGGAAUAAAAUGACAUCUGUACUGAUGGGUGAUUAAUUUCACUUCACAGAGUUUGCGACAUGGAGACAUCUACCAGCCUCAGUGCCUUCUUCUGGCGACGGAUAAGCUUAAAUUUCCGUUCAUUCUGUGUCUCACGGGGCAAGGUGGAGUGGUGGUGUUUCGCCCUCUGCAAAGUGACCUGCUGACCAUUGCUCCAGCUGCCUUGGAGCCCUUGCGAUGCUCACCUGGGGAAUGAAGAGGCAAGGUUCUUGUAAUCUCUUGCAUCUUCUUCAGAAAUGAUAAUUAUAAUCAUUUGGUGUUCUUCC